UCAGCCUAAAAAGCAGAAGGCACACAUAACUUAAGAAUUCGCCCCCAAAUCGCCAAAUCCAACAGUCACAAAUUUAUCCCCCAAAGCCAAAGAACAGGGUUAUGCAUGAACUGGGACCGAAGACAUAAUAAGUCACAAGUGAACAUACCUCACAGAUGUACAGGACAAGUCAAUCGGGCGAAAAGCAGCUCAAUUCCUCCAAACAGGCUCAAACUUCUGAAGAACUGGAGAUGUGGAGAACUCUUGAGGACAUUUGACUUGGGCGCCAACUAAAUACAGCCUUGUCAUCUUCCCAAGUUGUAGCAGAGCUGCAUCGAAGUCGUGUGCACGAAGUUGAGCUGCAUCGAAGUCGUGUGCACGAACAAAGCAAGCAGGGAUCACAGUUCACACAUCAGAAAUCUGAAUUGAUGUUAUGCUGUGCGCCUGUGCCCCGGGAUCCAUAGAGUACCAAAGCAGUCAAGCUUGGAGGCAUGUCAGUGUACUCGUGUAUACGCGAUGCCAUCAAUAAAUCAUAAAUCAAGCGGUUUUCCUUGGUCA
Molecule: long non-coding RNA, 537 nt
Organism: Oryza sativa Japonica Group (Japanese rice)
Lineage: Eukaryota; Viridiplantae; Streptophyta; Magnoliopsida; Poales; Poaceae
Source: RefSeq, a predicted model, not a curated record